UACGGGGGGAGCAAGCGUUGUUCGGAUUUACUGGGCGUAAAGGGCGCGUAGGCGGCACCGCAAGUCGACUGUGAAAUCUCCGGGCUUAACCCGGAAAGGUCAGCCGAUACUGCGGGGCUAGAGUGCAGAAGGGGCAACUGGAAUCUCGGUGUAGCGGUGAAAUGCGUAGAUAUCGAGAGGAACACCUGCGGCGAAGGCGGGUUGCUGGGCUGAUACUGACGCUGAGGCGCGAAAGCUAGGGGAGCGAACGGG
Molecule: ribosomal RNA, 252 nt
Filed under: uncultured bacterium
Lineage: Bacteria
Description: partial 16S ribosomal RNA
Rfam family: Bacterial small subunit ribosomal RNA
Source: RNAcentral